UCGGAUUGCAGUCUGCAACUCGACUGCAUGAAGCCGGAAUCGCUAGUAAUCGCGGAUCAGAAUGCCGCGGUGAAUACGUUCCCGGGUCUUGUACACACCGCCCGUCACACCAUGGGAGUCGGGAAUGCCCGAAGCCGGUGACCCAACCUUUCAGGAGGGAGCCGUCGAAGGCAGGCCUGGUAACUGGGGUGAAGUCGUAACAAGGUAGC
This 209-nucleotide ribosomal RNA is filed under the name uncultured bacterium. RNAcentral describes it as "partial 16S ribosomal RNA". It matches the Rfam family "Bacterial small subunit ribosomal RNA", at positions 1293 to 1500 of the family's 1533-position model. The record is from RNAcentral.